This 87-nucleotide transfer RNA is filed under the name Bifidobacterium longum subsp. infantis. RNAcentral's name for it is "tRNA-Ser(gct)". Lineage: Bacteria; Bacillati; Actinomycetota; Actinomycetes; Bifidobacteriales; Bifidobacteriaceae. The record is from RNAcentral.
GGAUGGUGGGCCGUGCGGCAAAGGCGCAGUCCUGCUAAGACUGUUGGGGCGGAAGUCCCCGGCGAGUUCGACUCUCGCACCAUCCGC